Molecule: ribosomal RNA, 253 nt
Filed under: uncultured bacterium
Lineage: Bacteria
Description: partial 16S ribosomal RNA
Rfam family: Bacterial small subunit ribosomal RNA
Source: RNAcentral
UACGUAGGGUGCUAGCGUUAUCCGGAAUUAUUGGGCGUAAAGCGCGCGUAGGCGGUUUUUUAAGUCUGAUGUGAAAGCCCACGGCUCAACCGUGGAGGGUCAUUGGAAACUGGAAAACUUGAGUGCAGAAGAGGAAAGUGGAAUUCCAUGUGUAGCGGUGAAAUGCGUAGAUAUAUGGAAGAACACCAGUGGCGAAGGCGACAUUCUGGUCUGUUACUGACACUGAGGCUCGAAAGCGUGGGGAGCAAACAGG